GUGCCUCAGCAGCAAAUAUACUAAAAUUGGAACAAUACAGAGAAAAUUAGCAUGACCCUUGCUCAAGGAUGACAUGUAAAUUCAUGAAGUGUUCCAUAUUUGU
Small nuclear RNA from Manis pentadactyla (Chinese pangolin), 103 nucleotides. The record is from RefSeq and is a predicted model, not a curated record. NCBI's taxonomy places the organism in Eukaryota, Metazoa, Chordata, Mammalia, Pholidota, Manidae.